UUGCAAGUCGAACGGGUAUCUUCGGAUACUAGGUGGCAGACGGGUGAGUAACACGUGGGAACGUACCUUUCGGUUCGGAAUAAUUCAGGGAAACUUGGACUAAUACCGGAUAAGCCCUUCGGGGGAAAGAUUUAUCGCCGAUAGAUCGGCCCGCGUCUGAUUAGCUAGUUGGUGAGGUAAUGGCUCACCAAGGCGACGAUCAGUAGCUGGUCUGAGAGGAUGAUCAGCCACAUUGGGACUGAGACACGGCCCAAACUCCUACGGGAGGCAGCAGUGGGGAAUAUUGGACAAUGGGCGAAAGCCUGAUCCAGCCAUGCCGCGUGAGUGAUGAAGGCCUUAGGGUUGUAAAGCUCUUUUGUCCGGGAAGAUAAUGACUGUACCGGAAGAAUAAGCCCCGGCUAACUUCGUGCCAGCAGCCGCGGUAAUACGAAGGGGGCUAGCGUUGCUCGGAAUCACUGGGCGUAAAGGGCGCGUAGGCGGACUUUUAAGUCGGGGGCGAAAGCCCAGGGCUCAACCCUGGAAUUGCCUUCGAUACUGAGAGUCUUGAGUUCGGAAGAGGUUGGUGGAACUGCGAGUGUAGAGGUGAAAUUCGUAGAUAUUCGCAAGAACACCAGUGGCGAAUGCGGCC
This 628-nucleotide ribosomal RNA is filed under the name Allobosea sp. WP2. Its description in RNAcentral is "bacterial SSU rRNA". It matches the Rfam family "Bacterial small subunit ribosomal RNA", at positions 55 to 726 of the family's 1533-position model. The record is from RNAcentral. Lineage: Bacteria; Pseudomonadati; Pseudomonadota; Alphaproteobacteria; Hyphomicrobiales; Alloboseaceae.